AUCCAGAACUUUGAUCAUGGCUCAGGAUGAACGCUAGCUACAGGCUUAACACAUGCAAGUCGAGGGGAAACGACAUCGAAAGCUUGCUUUUGAUGGGCGUCGACCGGCGCACGGGUGAGUAACGCGUAUCCAACCUGCCCACCACUUGGGGAUAACCUUGCGAAAGUAAGACUAAUACCCAAUGAUAUCUCUAGAAGACAUCUGAAAGAGAUUAAAGAUUUAUCGGUGAUGGAUGGGGAUGCGUCUGAUUAGCUUGUUGGCGGGGUAACGGCCCACCAAGGCUACGAUCAGUAGGGGUUCUGAGAGGAAGGUCCCCCACAUUGGAACUGAGACACGGUCCAAACUCCUACGGGAGGCAGCAGUGAGGAAUAUUGGUCAAUGGACGAGAGUCUGAACCAGCCAAGUAGCGUGCAGGAUGACGGCCCUAUGGGUUGUAAACUGCUUUUAUAAGGGAAUAAAGUGAGUCUCGUGAGGCUUUUUGCAUGUACCUUAUGAAUAAGGACCGGCUAAUUCCGUGCCAGCAGCCGCGGUAAUACGGAAGGUCCGGGCGUUAUCCGGAUUUAUUGGGUUUAAAGGGAGCGUAGGCCGGAGAUUAAGCGUGUUGUGAAAUGUAGACGCUCAACGUCUGCACUGCAGCGCGAACUGGUUUCCUUGAGUACGCACAAAGUGGGCGGAAUUCGUGGUGCAGCGGUGAAAUGCUUAGAUAUCACGAAGAACUCCGAUUGCGAAGGCAGCUCACUGGAGCGCAACUGACGCUGAAGCUCGAAAGUGCGGGUAUCGAACAGGAUUAGAUACCCUGGUAGUCCGCACGGUAAGCGAUGGAUGCCCGCUGUUGGACUGAAUAGGUCAGCGGCCAAGCGAAAGCAUUAAGCAUCCCACCUGGGGAGUACGCCGGCAACGGUGCAACUCAAAGGAAUUGACGGA
RNAcentral lists this ribosomal RNA (924 nucleotides) under uncultured bacterium. RNAcentral describes it as "bacterial SSU rRNA". It matches the Rfam family "Bacterial small subunit ribosomal RNA", at positions 1 to 917 of the family's 1533-position model. RNAcentral also lists the same sequence under 1 other name. The record is from RNAcentral.